This 443-nucleotide ribosomal RNA is filed under the name uncultured bacterium. Its description in RNAcentral is "partial 16S ribosomal RNA". It matches the Rfam family "Bacterial small subunit ribosomal RNA", at positions 338 to 795 of the family's 1533-position model. The record is from RNAcentral.
CCUACGGGUGAUAGCAGUGGGGAAUAUUGGGCAAUGGGCGCAAGCCUGACCCAGCAACGCCGCGUGAAGGAAGAAGGCUUUCGGGUUGUAAACUUCUUUUCUCAGGGACGAAGCAAGUGACGGUACCUGAGGAAUAAGCCACGGCUAACUACGUGCCAGCAGCCGCGGUAAUACGUAGGUGGCAAGCGUUAUCCGGAUUUACUGGGUGUAAAGGGAGCGCAGGCGGGAAGCCAAGUCAGCUGUGAAAACUACGGGCUUAACUUGUAGACUGCAGUUGAAACUGGUUUUCUUGAGUGAAGUAGAGGUUGGCGGAAUUCCGAGUGUAGCGGUGAAAUGCGUAGAUAUUCGGAGGAACACCGGUGGCGAAGGCGGCCAACUGGGCUUUAACUGACGCUGAGGCUCGAAAGUGUGGGGAGCAAACAGGAUUAGAUACCCCAGUAGUC